RNAcentral lists this ribosomal RNA (474 nucleotides) under uncultured bacterium. RNAcentral describes it as "bacterial SSU rRNA". It matches the Rfam family "Bacterial small subunit ribosomal RNA", at positions 335 to 799 of the family's 1533-position model. The record is from RNAcentral.
ACUCCUACGGGAGGCAGCAGUAGGGAAUCUUCCGCAAUGGACGAAAGUCUGACGGAGCAACGCCGCGUGAGUGAAGAAGGUUUUCGGAUCGUAAAAACUCUGUUGUUAGAGAAGAACGUUAAGUAGAGUGGAAAAUUACUUAAGUGACGGUAUCUAACCAGAAAGGGACGGCUAACUACGUGCCAGCAGCCGCGGUAAUACGUAGGUCCCAAGCGUUGUCCGGAUUUAUUGGGCGUAAAGCGAGCGCAGGUGGUUUCUUAAGUCUGAUGUAAAAGGCAGUGGCUCAACCAUUGUGUGCAUUGGAAACUGGGAGACUUGAGUGCAGGAGAGGAGAGUGGAAUUCCAUGUGUAGCGGUGAAAUGCGCAGAUAUAUGGAGGAACACCGGAGGCGAAAGCGGCUCUCUGGCCUGUAACUGACACUGAGGCUCGAAAGCGUGGGGAGCAAACAGGAUUAGAUACCCUGGUAGGAUAGCG